Triticum aestivum (bread wheat) is the source of this 561-nucleotide long non-coding RNA. RefSeq lists it as uncharacterized. The record is from RefSeq and is a predicted model, not a curated record. NCBI's taxonomy places the organism in Eukaryota, Viridiplantae, Streptophyta, Magnoliopsida, Poales, Poaceae. The transcript has 3 exons.
CUCGUCCCCCACUUCUCGUCUGUGCGGUCAGUCACUCCCUUCUCUCCUUAUUCGUCGCAUUCUGUCUCCUCCUCUCCCCUCGCUGGCUAGGGUUUCUUUUGCUCUGGUCUUUUGUUGGUGCUCGGAUUCAGUGUCCCCCUUCUUGGAUCCAUGAGGAGAUCUGCUUUUUCAGCAUGUGAGAAAAGUGAACAUGGCCAAAAUGUUUAUUUCAAAUGGACAAUGUGGAUUGUGGAGUAAGAUUGCUUAUCGCGUGUGCUACUGACUGGAUAUCAAACAUGUCGAUAUUGAGUCGGAUUGUCCCCAGGACCGAGGUGAUUAACAGCAUCAAGGAUGACCCAUAUGGCUCUAUCAUCGAAGAGGCAUUGCAACUGCUGCUCCCUCUUUUAAACAUUGCCAGUUGGUUAGUCAUCUCCUUUUUAGUCAUGUCUCAGUUGGUUGCACUUUUUUUUUGUUGCUUGUUUGUUACUGUUCCUCUUGAAAUCAUUAGUUAUUCAAGUAUGAUCAAAAUGAUGGCCUAAUCUGAUCAUGCUGCUGAUUGUUGUUAGAUUAGAAAACUGUAAU